RNAcentral lists this transfer-messenger RNA (403 nucleotides) under Candidatus Saccharibacteria bacterium CG2_30_41_52. It matches the Rfam family "transfer-messenger RNA". Rfam says of the family: Bacterial tmRNA, also known as 10Sa RNA or SsrA, is named for its dual tRNA and mRNA-like properties. Its role is to liberate the mRNA from a stalled ribosome. Lineage: Bacteria; Candidatus Saccharimonadota. The record is from RNAcentral. RNAcentral also lists the same sequence under 6 other names.
GGGGCUGACUUAGCUUUCGACGAAGGGAUUUUAACAGAUUAUUCUGCAAAUCGAAUGUACUCGUUAAGUACAAAAUUUAAUUGCAACAUUUACUGCAAAAGCAAAAAGUUUUGUAGCUGAGAUCGCAUCUGCUUUCCAGCCACAAGCUCUAGCAACAGCUCGGGCCUAGCCUGAGCCAUCGUAUCAUACAGGCGACAUAGACUUGGUACGGUGUUAUAAACAUGUCGCUUACUGCCAGGCGGGUAGCAACGCCGGGUCGGGACACUAAUAUUGCGCGACAAUCCAAAACGUUUUUCGUUUGGCUUUUAGUUAGGUUAGUCGUAAAAAUUUAAGACAAACUAUAUUUGUAGACGAAUAAUAGGUUACCUUUCGGACCGGGGUGCGAUUCCCCGCAGCUCCACCA